UGGCUACACUGAAGAUGGAGUGGCGGCUGCUAAUGUCAGAGACCUUCGAAAGAAAGAUGCCAAAGCCUUGUUUUUCAUCCAACAAGCUAUAGAUGAGGCGAUUUUCCCUUGCAUUGCUGCUGCAACAAAGACUAAAGAAGCUUGGGAUGCAUUGCAAAAAGUCUACGAAGGUACUGGACAAGUGGUAACUGUUAAACUUCAAA
This 203-nucleotide unclassified non-coding RNA is filed under the name Hevea brasiliensis (rubber tree). Lineage: Eukaryota; Viridiplantae; Streptophyta; Magnoliopsida; Malpighiales; Euphorbiaceae. The record is from RNAcentral.